GCCUGUAUCAUCUGAGAAUAAUAGCAGCUGUUUUGUCUUUUUUACUCUUCAGAAGAUGAGGUGUCACUUUUUGUUUUUCAGACGGAUGUUCUGACCUCUUCUCCCCUCAGAAAGCAGCUGAACAAUGCAGUGAGGAUGGGGGUUCAGAUGUAGUAGAUCAAGAGCAGGGAGCAAGCCGGGCCAAGAAGCCCUCCUCACCAAAGAAGAAAAAGAAAAGAGAGAGAAAACUGGGGAAAGCUAAGGAGACAACCAGGAUAACAGUGAAGAGACCAUGGUGUGAAGAAGAGAGAAGCGCAGUAAACAAACAUCUAGCAAGGUUUGUGGCAGAGCGCAGAGUUCCUGGAAAAGCAGACUGCAUGAAGUGCCUAGAAGAGGAAAAGGUCCCGAAGGA
Molecule: long non-coding RNA, 391 nt
Filed under: Sinocyclocheilus grahami
Lineage: Eukaryota; Metazoa; Chordata; Actinopteri; Cypriniformes; Cyprinidae
Description: lncRNA (ENSSGRG00000015144.1)
Source: RNAcentral